UACGGAGGAUGCGAGCGUUAUCCGGAUUUAUUGGGUUUAAAGGGUGCGUAGGCGGGCUUUUAAGUCAGCGGUAAAAAUUCGGGGCUCAACCCCGUCCGGCCGUUGAAACUGGGGGUCUUGAGUGGGCGAGAAGAAGGCGGAAUGCGUGGUGUAGCGGUGAAAUGCAUAGAUAUCACGCAGAACUCCGAUUGCGAAGGCAGCGUACCGGCGCCCAACUGACGCUGAAGCACGAAGGCGUGGGUAUCGAACAGG
Molecule: ribosomal RNA, 252 nt
Filed under: uncultured bacterium
Lineage: Bacteria
Description: partial 16S ribosomal RNA
Rfam family: Bacterial small subunit ribosomal RNA
Source: RNAcentral